GAUGUGUUUAUUUAGAAAUUAUGAUAUUUAAGCGUUAUGUGUUUUAUAGGCCCAGUGCUUUGUGGAAUAAUAGAGUCAGAGCCACAGAGAAGAACAAAGUAAGAAAGACACACUAUCUGUUGGGUGCUACAUCCAUGACUGAUUGAUGACAUAUAUAUAGCACUUUACAGGUUACAAAACAGUUCUCAAUUAUCAUGGGAGGGUGGUGGUGUUGUUAACCAGUUUAUAUAUAGGAAGCUGAGGCUGAACAUCAUUUAAGUGGCCUGCUAAAGAUCACAAAGCUGGGUUGGAGAGUCACACCUAGGUAUUCUGCUCUCAGAACAACUCUUAAGCCAGGACAGUAGAAAACUUAAGGGUGUAUCAUCUUUAGCUAGAUCACUUAGUAUGAGUAUCCCAGUUUUGCUUCUUAAUAGCUAUGUGAGCUGAAUAAGGAAAAUCACUUAACCUUUUUGUAUCUUGCCAUUAUCAAAAUGGAAACAAAAUAGAACCUAUUGCACUGAGCUUUUAGGAGAAGGAAUUAAUACAUAUAAUAUUCUUAGAACAGAACCAUCAUGUUAGGAAAUACAUGCUGGUUCUGUUCCCACUAGACUAAACUGUUUCUCCCAUUUCUGGAAAUCUCUCCUACAUUAGCUCCUGAAGUACAUUUCAUUCCUUUAUACAAAAGAGCUGAUUCUUGGCAGCAGCCUGAUUAUAAAUCAUGUGUAUUAUAUUUGUGAGGAGGUUGUGAAUAUGCAUCAGACCAUCCAUUUGAGAACAGGGUCCCAACAUGCAGAAGAUCCACAGAGACAAAACUCUGAACUCUUAAUGUAAUCUUCAUUAAGGCCCUCCUCAGAUAAAAUCCCUCUGCUGCAGCAGCUGAUUGCCACAGUAACCCUGCCGCCCACAGAACAUAAUGCAAGCUGUAAUUUAAAAUUUCAUGCAGGAAGGAAAAGUUACCAUUUCCUCAGAGUCUGUAGAUCAAACAUAAGAUGAGAAUGAAGUGUCUGCCCAGCGUAUCAAGCAUGGAAGCGGGCAGUGUGGCUUUUGAGUUCUUUCCUAGUCAAUUUUAUUGAUUAAACCUCAAACUAUCUAACAUUGUUCAUGUUGCUUUGAUGUCUAAAAAUGAUCUUUGAACACAGUGAGGAGACAAUUCAAACAGUCAGGGAGUAGAAAAACCGCUCAAAAUACUGUUGUAUUUGCUUUAGAGUGGCUAAAAACCAAGGGACCAAACUGAGUUUCAAAAGGUUUAAGGUCACACAUGCUAAACUCUAUAACUUGACUCGGAGGUGCCACGUUUGACAUGCCAGCCCUUUGUGAAGCUAGAUGGACAAGCUGAAUGAGGCAGGAGCAGUAGUCCCAGGGUCCUACUGGUGGGUUAAAACAGCUCCUAGGCUGCUUGGUCAGGUGCAUUUCCUCGUCAUCUUUUAGCCCCUCGUUAUCUUUCCUCAAGUCAAACCAUGCUCCUCAUUCUGCCUCUGGGAAGCCACAUGGGCUUGCAGAAAUCACAUGAACUUCAGGGUCAAAGAAAAUCAGUUCUGAAUCCCCAUUUUCCUCUUCAUUAGAUAAAGGGCAAUUUAUCCUCUCUGCUUCAAUAUCUUUAUCUGUAAAUGAGAUAAAAACAGUAACUUAACAACAUCGUUGGGAGGCUUAAACGAGAUAAUACAUGGGAAAGUGUUCAGCAUGUACCAGAUACUUAAAUGUCAGUUCAGAGACAGAGAAAUAAAAGGCAGUAAUAUUAACAGGCUUCUAGAGAAAGAGAACUUCUAGAAAAAUAGAGAUGAGCAUCAGACUUGUUAAUAAAAUUUUAAUUUGACUGAGAUCAAUGAAACACCCCAUGUGUUGACUACAAAUACAUACUCAUCAGCAAUCCCAAGGAAAAUCUAUCAGGGUUAUUUCCUUUCAUUAAAGAGCAAUAUAAAUAUUGAUCAAGUCUCCUAAUUCACCAGUGGUUUGCUUUCAUACCUUACACUUCUGUUCUGCACAGAGGGCACAAAUCUUCCACUUACCUUUAGUUCAUAAUUUAUUAUGUCACAUUAGAAGCUAAACAUGAACACAGGGUCCUCAUCAAGAAAAAGUACCACUUCAGGAGCACUUCUCCUAUUGCCUUAUCCCCAAAGCUGCCUGGGCCUCCUCAUGGUUGAUGUAUGUAAGAGCAAAGGGAAUAUCUUCCCCCACCACAGGAAGGCCAAACUCUUAACUAUGAAAUCAGAGCAACUGUAUGGAAGGAUCAAAAGGCAGCCCCCUCACCCAGGACCAAAAGUGAACAGCACAUUCAUUAAUGAAGAAGGAAUAUUAGGCUUGAGGACACCUAGAGGGCUGGGAAAAUGCCAAGGCAAACAUCUGUUGUUUCAUAAAGAUGGAUAAAGGCAUGCUAAUCAUCUUGUUAAUGGUGAAGAUAUUUCCUUUCAGUGCAAUGGCAAUAUAUUCUGUCUUUUGGACUUAGAAGCAAAAAUAAUAAUAGGAUGCCAUACUGGAUGCCCAGAAUCCUGAGUGAUGUUUCACCAAUGGCUGUGUCUUUCUGGAGAUCUGAGAGUCUUAGACUUAUCCUGGAAAAUGGAUUAUUAAUUAAGGAUUUUCUUGCUAGUUCUUUGCCAGGGAAGUGAAGGAAUGAAUAGCAUAGAAAGGGACUGAGCAUCUGGCAAGAUGAGGACAUUCUAGCCAGACCUGUUAUCUCUACUUCUGUUUCAGACUGACUUUAUUACUAUACAUUAUUGUAUUUCUCUUGACUGAACAGCGGUACUUCCUUUGCAUCUUCGCCUCUCAGUAUCAAAACAAAAUUCUUGCAACCAAGUAAAAGAUGAACCAAAGCACUCUGAAUAGCUAGUGUUGGAAACUGGCACUGUGGACUUUGGGCCCUGUCCCCUUCAUACGUCAGCACUGGAUGGAACUAGAAUCCAGCUUCCUCAAUUAGCAAAAAGAUGACUUCCCACAUGAGAUGUGAUUCUUCCUUUCAGGGGCCACACUUUUAUGGACAUAAAACAACACUGGUUUUUUCAGUCGGUUCUCAUUUACAUUAAGGGUCUGGUUUGCUUAAUUCUGAGAAAGAGUUGGUUUUAGUUUUUCCUUUAUAUGCCUUGGUCCUUUCAUAUGUGAUAAUAGAAGUUUUCUACUUGUUAUGAUGGGAUAGCAUUCAUUUUCUUAUUGUCCAUGAUCUCAAAGGAUCACAGUAGAAUGUUCUUCCAAAUUGUGGAGGCAUUGCACAGCUGAGCUAGAGGGGAAGUCAGUGCAGGAUUCUGCUCUCUCUAAAGAUUAUAUAUUUAAUCAUAGCUCUGUUUUCCCACUUAGGUAGAUGAGUAGCAGUAAGAGAAUAUAAAACAACAUAAAAUUUACAAGAUAAUUUAAAAACCACUUAGUUGGUACAAUAAUUUUAAAACAUAUACUUGCACAUAAAGCCUUCGAUCCUAAAGACCAUCCAAUUCAGUUCUUUCUGAAAGAACUAAAAAACCAAGAGAUACAGUGGCAGUGGAAGAUCACCAAGGGAAAGAGUGACCCAGGAGUACACUAACCCUAGAUCUUCCCACUUGGCUGCACGUCCUUCACAUGCACGUUAAACUCAUAGGAAACCGAAAUAGGGCAUAAGGAUUCGUGACCUAAGGGACAGUGAAACAGAAAUGAGGAUGGCAAAUCAUGACACAAGAGUUGCUGCUAACUCUGCACUGCUGAUCGAUCUGAUCCUUUUUCCUGAGGAGCCUCUGCACACAGCCUCAGAAGCCUUCUCAACCCAUUGUUUUGGGUACAUUACCAUGGAUUAGAUCUGUUGCACAAUGAGAAGCAUAUUUCCUAUUUCUGGUUUAACAAUUAAGUGCAUGGACAUUAGAAUUAACUCAGGUUCAAAUUCCAGUUCCACCAUUCACACUAGCUGUGUGAUCUUAAACAAGUGAUGUAACAUCUCUAAGCCUUGGGUUCUUCUGUAAAAUAGGAGGUAUGUUCACUCCCCUGUCAGGGUUGUUAGAUGAUGUGUGACGUGCUUAACACAGUAUAUGGCACAGAGUAAGCUCUCAAUCAGUGAUAUUAUCCAAAAGGAGAGACCACUUUCCAACUUUACAGCAUUAGGUUUAGCCAAACAUGGGUGAGGAGCGUUUUAUGGAGCUAUUCAAUGGGGUUUUGGGCCUUUUCGCUAGAUUUUAUAUUAAAAAUAAUAAUGAAUCUAAAAGAGACCUCCAUUUAGCAAUACAAUCUAGCUGGUAGAACCUGUUUGUCUAUUUACAGUGCUCAGUGUUCCUUCAAAGUAUCUGUGGCAGCAAACUGCAAUUCAGCUAAAGAAGGCUCAUUUAGAGACUAAAGAAGCCUGAAAAGUUUCUAGAAUUCAGGAAGGAAUCAAUGUCAGAGCUGAAUCUGGAGAUGAGGUGCUCUUACAUCCCAUUUCAGGAGCAGAGGGUGCAAGAGACAAAAACACAAGUAUGGCCAGGUCAGAAAGUUUCUUUGAUUAGAUGCCCUUCCUAGAGACACUGUGCAGGAAGAGGGAGCUAAAAGCAGUCAAGCACACACUCAACUGAACCAAAAAUGAUGUUUCCAUUGCCACCCACUGGGGCUUGUUUGCAGAGCCUGAAUCUGGGGCAAACAGCUUGCCACAUCUCUUAAUGCCUCAUCUCAACAUGCCUUGUCUCAGCAUUUACUUAAUUUGAGAUCUUUUUCUUUCCUAUCGGAAACGGUUGCAGUCACUCUUUGGCAUGAAUUGUUUUCUGGAGAGCAUGGUGUCAAUGCGAGCUUGUCAGACAGUUGUCUUGGGUGGUGGUGACAUAUUCAAGCUCCCAUGGGACAGGAGGAGCCAUUCAGAUAAUCACUUUAAAUAUUUCACUAACACAGUAGGAAAGAUUUUAAAACUAUACUGAGACAGGAUUGCUGUUUGUCGUACUCACCAUGCUUUUUUUUUAUUUCUAAUGAAAUUUGUCUUCUGAUGCUAUGGCAUCAAGAACUCUCCCUAGAAUAUUUUCAUUUGUAAAAGAUGCCCCUAAAUGGUUUAUUUUUAUUUAUACUAGAGCCAGGGAGUCAUGGUAACCUGCGGAAGUGCAGAAGGAAAGUAUAAUUUUCGAGGGAGGAGAUAAGGGUAAGCCACAGAAAAAAGAAACUUAAGCACCCUUUGAGUCCUCUAUCUCCUAAAGUAAUGCAUUAGCUAUCCAGAAGGGACCAAAUAUUCGCAGCAGGUGAAAUUUCCCCAGUUGUCUUCAUAGGUUUAAUUCUCAGAUACUUACCAUUAGGAGACACUGUGAAAUGCCUCCUCCUAGCUUUUUGUCUGUGGUGAGACUGUGAGCAGCACUUCCGGUCAUCUGCUUUUUUGAAAGAGAAAAAAAUGUAGACAAAGUCCAAAUUUUAACCUGAUGCCUAGAGUUUCUUUCCAUGAAUAUAGCAUAAUUAUUGAGAGAUCGCCUCUGAUGAAUUUUCAGGUGUAUGCUUCCAAUUUUUUUUUUUUUUACAUUUACAUAAAAAUUCAAUUGGAACAGGAGUUUUUGUUGCCGCCUUAGUGGAAUUUUCUUGUGAGAUUUCUCAGAGAGAUGUAAGAGCCAGAAACCAAACUUAGAUUAAAAAAUAUAUAUAUACAGGAUGUGCUGCAAAGUAUCAUGGGCGUGUUCCAGCUCAUGGUAGAGUCUUGUGCCAUAAAUAAUUCCUUUGCAGCUAAGCUGACUCCUGGCCCAGCACCUACUCUCUUGGGAACUGGACAAAGGGCACAACAUUUAAAUGUGCACCAUCAUACAACUUAAUGAAUCGGAGUUCCCGUCGUGGCGCAGUGGUUAACGAAUCCGACUAGGAACCAUGAGCUUACGGGUUCGGUCUCUGCCCUUGCUCAGUGGGUUAACAAUCCGGCGUUGCCGUGAGCUCUGGUGUAGGUUGCAGACGCAGCUCGGAUCCCGUGUUGCUGUGGCUCUGGCAUAGGCCAGUGGCUAUAGCUCCACUUCAACCCUUAGCCUGGGAACCUCCAUAUGCCACGGGAGUGGCCCAAGAAAUAGC
Molecule: long non-coding RNA, 5925 nt
Filed under: Sus scrofa (pig)
Lineage: Eukaryota; Metazoa; Chordata; Mammalia; Artiodactyla; Suidae
Description: lncRNA (ENSSSCG00065012969.1)
Source: RNAcentral